Molecule: transfer RNA, 77 nt
Filed under: marine sediment metagenome
Description: tRNA-Arg
Rfam family: tRNA
About the family: Transfer RNA (tRNA) molecules are approximately 80 nucleotides in length.
Source: RNAcentral
ACGGCUGUAGCAUAACCGGAGAAUGCCCCGCCCUGCGAAGGCGGAGAUUGUAGGUUCGAAUCCUAUCAGCCGUGCCA